GAAUUGACGGGGGACCCGCACAAGCGGUGGAGCAUGUGGUUUAAUUCGAAGCAACGCGAAGAACCUUACCAACUCUUGACAUCCCCCUGACCGGUACAAAAAUGUACCUUCCCCUUCGGGGGAAGGGGUGACAGGUGGUGCAUGGUUGUCGUCAGCUCGUGUCGUGAGAUGUUGGGUUAAGUCCCGCAACGAGCGCAACCCUUGUCCUUAGUUGCCAGCAUUUGGUUGGGCACUCUAAGGAGACUGCCGGUGACAAACCGGAGGAAGGUGGGGAUGACGUCAAAUCAUCAUGCCCCUUAUGAGUUGGGCUACACACGUGCUACAAUGGACGGUACAAAGGGCAGCGAAACCGCGAGGUGGAGCCAAUCCCAUAAAGCCGUUCUCAGUUCGGAUUGCAGGCUGCAACUCGCCUGCAUGAAGUCGGAAUCGCUAGUAAUCGCAGGUCAGCAUACUGCGGUGAAUACGUUCCCGGGUCUUGUACACACCGCCCGUCACACCACGAGAGUUUGCAACACCCGAAGUCGGUGAGGUAACCGUAAGGAGCCAGCCGCCGAAGGUGGGGCAGAUGAUUGGGGUGAA
RNAcentral lists this ribosomal RNA (579 nucleotides) under Exiguobacterium profundum. RNAcentral's name for it is "bacterial SSU rRNA". It matches the Rfam family "Bacterial small subunit ribosomal RNA", at positions 907 to 1484 of the family's 1533-position model. The record is from RNAcentral. Lineage: Bacteria; Bacillati; Bacillota; Bacilli; Caryophanales.